This 313-nucleotide long non-coding RNA is filed under the name Struthio camelus australis. RNAcentral describes it as "lncRNA (ENSSCUG00000006564.1)". The record is from RNAcentral. Lineage: Eukaryota; Metazoa; Chordata; Aves; Struthioniformes; Struthionidae.
UGCUGUGUUGUGCUGUGCUGACAAAUGCUCACACCUGGAAAUGAGCUGGAUUUUUCUUAUGAACUCUGUGGAAGCUUGUUACCAUGUUAAAUGCCAUGCUUUCAUUAAAUACACACCUGAAGGGUUAUCUCCACUAAUACUGAUAGUCAAACACUUCAAAGGAAUGCAUGUUCACUGGGAUGUUCCUCUGGGCCUGAGACUCCUUCCCUCUUUUGUGGCUUCCUGGCAUAAGUGGCCACAGCAAACCACUGUUAAAGAUCCAGGAGUAAUUCUUCACCACAGGCCUAACGGUAACCUCAGUGACAGCUGCUGA